This 74-nucleotide transfer RNA is filed under the name Tenacibaculum adriaticum. It matches the Rfam family "tRNA". Rfam says of the family: Transfer RNA (tRNA) molecules are approximately 80 nucleotides in length. The record is from Rfam by way of RNAcentral. Lineage: Bacteria; Pseudomonadati; Bacteroidota; Flavobacteriia; Flavobacteriales; Flavobacteriaceae.
GGCUCCGUAGUUCAACUGGAUAGAAUAUCAGAUUUCGGCUCUGAGGGUUGGGGGUUCGAAUCCCUCCGGUGCCA